This 234-nucleotide ribosomal RNA is filed under the name uncultured bacterium. RNAcentral's name for it is "partial 16S ribosomal RNA". It matches the Rfam family "Bacterial small subunit ribosomal RNA", at positions 15 to 244 of the family's 1533-position model. The record is from RNAcentral.
GAUCAUGGGUCAGGAUAAACGCUGGCGGCGUGCCUAAUACAUGCAAGUCGAUCGAUAGAAGUCCAGCUUGCUGGACGGAAAUAGAGGCGAACGGGUGAGUAAUACGUAAGCAACCUGCCCACGAAGACCGGGAUAAUCCCUGGAAACGGGGACUAAGACCGGAUAGGUACACAGAUCGCAUGAUCAGUGUAUUAAAGGAGAGAGACACUGGUGGAUGGGCUUACGGUGCAUUAG